ACUCAUAGCAGCCAAGCAAAGUGCAUUCUGGGAUUUGGUGUCUUUCAUCCACAUGAGCCAAAAACACAUUUUAUGGCUUUUCUCGGCCUAGAAGACACCAAUUUCUGAAAUGAAAAUUGUUUUUUUCACAUUUCUUCU
Molecule: long non-coding RNA, 138 nt
Organism: Etheostoma cragini (Arkansas darter)
Lineage: Eukaryota; Metazoa; Chordata; Actinopteri; Perciformes; Percidae
Exons: 5
Source: RefSeq, a predicted model, not a curated record